Molecule: ribosomal RNA, 443 nt
Filed under: uncultured bacterium
Lineage: Bacteria
Description: partial 16S ribosomal RNA
Rfam family: Bacterial small subunit ribosomal RNA
Source: RNAcentral
CCUACGGGUGGCUGCAGUGGGGGAUCUUUGACAAUGGGGGGAACCCUGAUCCUGCGACGCCGCGUGAGUGAAGAAGUAUCUCGGUAUGUAAAGCCCUUUCCGCAGGGAAGAAAGAAAUGACGGUACUUGCCCAAGAAGCCCCGGCUAAUUACGCUCCAGCAGCCGCGGUAAUACGGAGGGGGCAAGCGUUAUUCGGAAGUACUGGGUGUAAAGGGAGCGUAGACGGUUAAGUAAGUCUGGAGUGAAAGGCCGGGGCCCAACCCCGGGACUGCUCUGGAAACUAUUGGACUAGAGUGCAGGAGAGGUAAGCGGAAUUCCUGGUGUAGCAGUGAAAUGCGUAGAUAUUAGGAGGAACACCAGUGGCGAAGGCGGGUUACUGGACUGUAACUGACGUUGAGGCUCGAAAGCGUGGGGAGCAAACAGGAUUAGAUACCCUUGUAGUC